This 75-nucleotide transfer RNA is filed under the name Micromonospora craterilacus. It matches the Rfam family "tRNA". Rfam says of the family: Transfer RNA (tRNA) molecules are approximately 80 nucleotides in length. Their secondary structure includes four short double-helical elements and three loops (D, anti-codon, and T loops). Further hydrogen bonds mediate the characteristic L-shaped molecular structure. tRNAs have two regions of fundamental functional importance: the anti-codon, which is responsible for specific mRNA codon recognition, and the 3' end, to which the tRNAs corresponding amino acid is attached (by aminoacyl-tRNA synthetases). tRNAs cope with the degeneracy of the genetic code in two manners: having more than one tRNA (with a specific anti-codon) for a particular amino acid; and 'wobble' base-pairing, i.e. permitting non-standard base-pairing at the 3rd anti-codon position. The record is from Rfam by way of RNAcentral. Lineage: Bacteria; Bacillati; Actinomycetota; Actinomycetes; Micromonosporales; Micromonosporaceae.
GGGCCAGUGGAGCUGUUGGCAAAGCUCGCCGCUCUCUCAAGGCGGAGAUCGUCGGUUCGAGCCCGACUUGGCCUA